This 85-nucleotide transfer RNA is filed under the name Felis catus (domestic cat). It matches the Rfam family "tRNA". From Rfam's summary of the family: Transfer RNA (tRNA) molecules are approximately 80 nucleotides in length. Their secondary structure includes four short double-helical elements and three loops (D, anti-codon, and T loops). Further hydrogen bonds mediate the characteristic L-shaped molecular structure. tRNAs have two regions of fundamental functional importance: the anti-codon, which is responsible for specific mRNA codon recognition, and the 3' end, to which the tRNAs corresponding amino acid is attached (by aminoacyl-tRNA synthetases). tRNAs cope with the degeneracy of the genetic code in two manners: having more than one tRNA (with a specific anti-codon) for a particular amino acid; and 'wobble' base-pairing, i.e. permitting non-standard base-pairing at the 3rd anti-codon position. Lineage: Eukaryota; Metazoa; Chordata; Mammalia; Carnivora; Felidae. The record is from Rfam by way of RNAcentral.
GCCUGGGUGGCUCAGUCGGUUAAGCGUCUGGCUUUGGCUCAGGUCAUGAUCUCGUGGCUUGUGGAUUCAAACCCCACAUCAGGCU